RNAcentral lists this ribosomal RNA (497 nucleotides) under uncultured bacterium. RNAcentral's name for it is "partial 16S ribosomal RNA". It matches the Rfam family "Bacterial small subunit ribosomal RNA", at positions 28 to 507 of the family's 1533-position model. The record is from RNAcentral.
GACGAACGCUGGCGGCGUGCCUAAUACAUGCAAGUUGAGCGCUGAAGGUUGGUACUUGUACCAACUGGAUGAGCAGCGAACGGGUGAGUAACGCGUGGGGAACCUGCCUUUGAGCGGGGGACAACAUUUGGAAACGAAUGCUAAUACCGCAUAAAAACUUUAAACACAAGUUUUAAGUUUGAAAGAUGCAAUUGCAUCACUCAAAGAUGAUCCCGCGUGGGAUUAGCUAGUUGGUGAGGGAAAGGCUCACCAAGGCGAUGAUACAUAGCCGACCUGAGAGGGGGAUCGGCCACAUUGGGACUGAGACACGGCCCAAACUCCUACGGGAGGCAGCAGUAGGGAAUCUUCGGCAAUGGACGAAAGUCUGACCGAGCAACGCCGCGUGAGUGAAGAAGGGUUUCGGAUCGGAAAACUCUGUUGGUAGAGAAGAACGUUGGUGAGAGUGGAAAGCUCAUCAAGUGACGGUAACUACACAGAAAGGGACGGCUAACUACGUG